Long non-coding RNA from Cynoglossus semilaevis (tongue sole), 3014 nucleotides. RefSeq lists it as uncharacterized. The record is from RefSeq and is a predicted model, not a curated record. NCBI's taxonomy places the organism in Eukaryota, Metazoa, Chordata, Actinopteri, Pleuronectiformes, Cynoglossidae. The transcript is spliced from 3 exons.
GGAUAAGCUUAUGUUAGUUACAUUUUUGCCAAUAUUAUUUACAAUUUAUACUUAUUUCUGCUAUUACAAACAGGAUGAUUUACAGUGUUAAUUCUGUUUAUAAAUGCUUUAGUGUGAGUGGGUUGUUGUAUGGGUGCACAAUAUGUAACCAAAAUGCUAUUUUAAUGAGUUUAUGACAGUCACAACAUGAAGCUAAGACACAAAUGGUCUGUCUGCUGCAGGGACCAUUAAAUCACAUUUAACUACAUAUCACACACAGCACCACUAAAGGGAGAGAGAGGGAGUAAAACAUCUGUUCAUGCUGUUAUAGAAAUGUAAAUGGAGUAAAACAAUCUGGAGCACAAAGCCUCCGCGCUGCUGCGGAUGAAGAAAGACUUCAGAUUAAUAACAGACGAAGAGUAGCAGAAACUCAGAGAAACACACUGCUGCCUGAUGUACUGUGUACCAUAUCUACAUCCAUCCACACAACGACCACCAGCAGUGUGUAACAGCUGUAUCUCCCCCAGCUCCUCCUCCCCCACUGACCCAGAUCAGUGCUGAUGGAGAUGAACCCUCAGCCUCAGACCAGUCAAGUCACGUGGACUGGAAAACGCAGAGCAGCUCUUCACUGUAAAUGUGAAAUAAUCUCCAAAAGUUUAUUUACUAUAACCAGCCAAAUGGAUACACUUCUCUUGACAUGGUCACAAUUAUGGACAAUUAUGUGCAAAAAAUAUUUUAUUUAAGUACUUUUAAAAAAAUAAAAGCCGUAGUUUAGUUUGUACCAUUGUGUUAUAGUUGAAACAAAUAAAAUAAUAAAUUACUGCUAGGGAUAUGUUGAUAAUCUGUUAACAGUUUAUGACAUUUCAUCUGUCCUUUCAUUCUCAACAUCUAAUAGUGUUCACAGAUUUUAAUUUUGCUUCUGGAUUUCCCCUGUAACACAAUUCAUUCUCAAAUGAAUUUACCUUGAGGCAAGUCUUACAAAUCGUUUUAUAUGACCAUUAAUUAUUUUUCUUUAAAACAAAGCAUAUUCGAUAUAUUUUGGUUGAUUAGAAAUAAAAUAUAUUGCUCUUGAAUUUUGUUUUUAGCAUAAAGCAUACGAAUCAAGUCUCGAUGUCGCCAUGGAGCGUCGUUAAUCCCUCCGGAACACAAGGUAGCGCUAAUGCGCCAGUUAAAAAAAAAAGACCCAAAUAAAAACCGCGAACAUUGUGGAAAAAUUUCAAUUUUCUUCGGCAAGAAGUCACCGGUGCAAACUCUGGAAAAUUCAACACUGAAUUUAAGAGAAUCACCACUUCAAUCCAAGUUCCUGUCUCAGCUGGACCUUCACUCAGAUUAUCUGACAAGGCUCUCCUACAGGAGAGGAGGAGGUGGUCAAAAGAAUGACCACACAUAUCCCUAAAUGUGAUGAUGUACUGUAGAUGCUGGACGAGUGUGCAUCAUUAAAGGGGUCUGCGUGUACAUGGGCAAAGACCCAGAUUACCUUCUACAGGUAUAUGUGGUAGGUAUGCUCGACUUCCACUCUUCUCAUUUUCUAAUUUAUGAUUAUUUGUGAUAUAAAUUGAGUAAAACAAUAUGUAUUAUAAUUUUCAUUAUAUAUUUUUUUUUACUGUUUCUUAAGUGGGGCCCUUGAGCAAGACAUGCUUUUGUUAUUCAAAUAUACUGUAUAUGUUGUAUAAAAGAAGUGAUGAGGUAGAAAAGCAUGCGGUGUUCUUACCUGUAGAUCUUUGAAGCAAAAUAGUCUUGAUGACAUUAAAGAAUUUUCUCAAAAUUUAGAACAGUGCCAGGUCCGAACUCCAAUCUGACAAAACCAAAAAUGAUGAGAACAUUCUGAGGGUGGUGCUCUAAUAUUUCUGACAACUCCCAGACACAGAGAGCACAGUUAUACUGUUGCAACAAUAGUGGUCCAGACUGUCGACCCAACGACCCUGUACAAACGGACCGCCUACCAGGGUGUCUUACUCACACAUACACACACAAAGCUAUUGAUUGUCCAAGCCAGAGCUAAUAGUCAGCCUUUACUUUUAGCUCCAUCAGCUAAACCAAUGAUCUGGAACCUUCAGGUUUUGUGAGUGUGUGGAUGUUCAGCAUGUUACAUUACAGAUCAUCAAUGACAUUAGCCCAAAAUUAGUCAAAAUAAUCCUAAUGUAGGUUGCUGUUUACAUAAAAAUAAACUAACAUUAAAUUUGUUAAAUUUUUUUAUAUACUAUAUAUUUGGUCCAUACAGACAAUAAGGGGUUUUGAUAAUACAUACUGGUAACAAUGAACUUUUACUCAAGUGCCUAAAUACUCUGUCAUUGUUGCAAAGAUUAGGUGCGUGCAUGGAGCACGCAGUAUGACAACAGCAGAAAAAGCCAAGCCAUUUAUUUCCUGGUCCGUUUUUAGGGUGAGCUCCUUGGUGCACUACCUGCCACUCUACUGAUAAAAUGUUUAAUCUGAUUAAUCACAGGGUAGCAGUGUCUUAAUCAUGAUUAAUCAUAAUUAAUUCUGACUGCAGAGAAUCAUGAUUAAUCAUUAAUCAAAAAAAAUAAUCUUCUAAAAUGACAAAUAGUAUAAUAUUAAAGAGCAAUAUAAUAACUAUACUGCAGGAAUGUUGAUUAUAUUCCAUAAAGCGUGCACAUGGUUUCAUGAAAUACUAAUUGUAAAAAAUACUCUGCAGAAUUUGAAUGUCAAUAUGUAAGUUUUUUUAUUUAUUGUAAAAUUAAUAUCGUUAACUGUUUUCAUGUAGGAGAAGGUGUUAGAAUGAAGCCUCUCUAGGGUAAACCAUGUUUGAGCAGCGAUCAGAGGCACAUUUGCAAUUGGAAAAACAUAGAUAUACAAACAAAGAAAUCAUUCUGCUUCCAGGGUAGUUAAGGUCUUUAAAUAUGGCCUGCAGUGAAAAAAACCCCAAACCAAUUAGCAUUGGUUUUAUGUUCACAUAAACCCAUGACCUGACAUUAGAGUUUAAUUGCACUGUCAAUGUGAUUUGUUUCAUUAGUGGAUUAAAAGCAGAUAAUUCAAAAAAGCACAAGAGACAACAGAGGCAAUUUGACCACAUUUAA